Molecule: unclassified non-coding RNA, 379 nt
Filed under: uncultured Actinomycetes bacterium
Lineage: Bacteria; Bacillati; Actinomycetota; Actinomycetes
Description: uncultured actinobacterium contains 16S-23S intergenic spacer region
Source: RNAcentral
UCCGAGUUGACCCCGGCAGUCUCCCAUGAGUCCCCGGCAUUACCCGCUGGCAACAUGGAACGAGGGUUGCGCUCGUUGCGGGACUUAACCCAACAUCUCACGACACGAGCUGACAACAGCCAUGCACCACCUGUGCACUGGCCCCGAAGGGCUGCCGUAUUUCUACGGCAUUCCAGUGCAUGUCAAGCCCUGGUAAGGUUCUUCGCGUCGCGUCGAAUUAAACCACAUGCUCCGCUGCUUGUGCGGGCCCCCGUCAAUUCCUUUGAGUUUUAGCCUUGCGGCCGUACUCCCCAGGCGGGGUGCUUAAUGCGUUAGCUUCGGCACAGAAACCGUGGAAUGGUCCCCACACCUAGCGCCCAACGUUUACAGCGUGGACUAC